CGGAAUCACUGGGCUUAAAGCGCGUGUAGGCGGAUGCCUAAGUACCUUGUGAAAUCCCACGGCUUAACCGUGGAACUGCUUGGUAUACUGGGUGUCUUGAGCCACUCAGGGGCGAGCGGAACAAAUGGUGGAGCGGUGAAAUGCGUAGAUAUCAUUUGGAACGCCAAUGGUGAAAACAGCUCGCUGGGGGUGUGCUGACGCUGAGACACGAAAGCCAGGGGAGCGAACGGG
RNAcentral lists this ribosomal RNA (231 nucleotides) under uncultured bacterium. Its description in RNAcentral is "partial 16S ribosomal RNA". It matches the Rfam family "Bacterial small subunit ribosomal RNA", at positions 546 to 776 of the family's 1533-position model. The record is from RNAcentral.